Long non-coding RNA from Zophobas morio, 790 nucleotides. RefSeq lists it as uncharacterized. The record is from RefSeq and is a predicted model, not a curated record. Lineage: Eukaryota; Metazoa; Arthropoda; Insecta; Coleoptera; Tenebrionidae. The transcript has 4 exons.
UAUUAAUUUUAUAAAUAUAAUUUAUUAACUAAAUUUGCGCGUAAUCUCGCAACGUCGCAACCUUGCAUGGCAACAGCGGAUUUCUUGAAGUGCAGCGACAUUCUAUGGCAGCGAACAAUGUGUAUCCACAUAACCUGUAAUAAGUUUUUGUUCGGUGCAGAAACAACCAUGGAAAACAUUAUAUGGAGAAUAUCUCAUUUUGCAUACGAGUAUUUCGCUGAAAAAGAAAAUUCUGUGAAAUCAACAUUUUGGGCUACAUAGUCGUUGUUAAAGUCAACUCUGUUAAUAUAAAACAGCAUAGAUAUAAUCUAAGUACACCAAGUUCUCAAGCAAAAAAUAUAGGUUAUGUUUCCCAGAAAUCAAAUAUAUUUACAAGAGAAAACUUACGAAAAUUUUUAACAGAGGCCCGUGAUUAAUGUACCUAAUGUCAAAGGUAUAUUUUUUAUUCGAAGUUGUAGGAGUAUGCGGAAUGGAAGAAUUUGAACAAUUUUCUUGUAUCUACAUAACCUAUAAUAAGCUUUUAUUAUUAUUACAGAACAGAUUAUUAGCUUACAUGCCCAUUUUAAAUGAAAAAAGAUCUGUAGCAAUUGCAAAAUAGAGAUGGAUAGCAAUAAUAACAAGCAGUUUACAUGCAUUCGACCGAACUUGCAAAAACUGGCAGAUAAUAUAUCAAAUUUAUUACCUAAAAACUCAGCCACAGUUUAUGAAAAGCGGUUUAUUUUUUAUUAGAAGUUGUAGGAGCAUGUGGAAUGGAUAAAUUGAAAAAUAAUGACGGCAUUCAAGACAAAAA